CACGUAAGUUGCGAGCGUUGUUCGGAAUUAUUGGGCGUAAAGGGUAUGUAGGCGGCUGCGAAAGCUUGGCGUGAAAGGCGGGGGCCCAACCCCCGGACUGCGCUGAGAACUGCGCGGCUUGAAUUGCUGAAGGGCAGCCGGAAUUCCAGGUGUAGGGGUGAAAUCUGUAGAUAUCUGGAAGAACACCAAUGGCGAAGGCAGGCUGCUGGCAGACGAUUGACGCUGAGGUACGAAAGUGCGGGGAGCAAAC
Molecule: ribosomal RNA, 250 nt
Filed under: uncultured prokaryote
Description: partial 16S ribosomal RNA
Rfam family: Bacterial small subunit ribosomal RNA
Source: RNAcentral